GAUUAAGGGCGCGCGGUGGAUGCCUAGGCUCUCGGAGGCGAAGAAGGACGCGAUAAGCCGCGAUAGUCCACGGCGAGGUGCAAGUAACCCUUGACCCGUGGGUUUCCGAAUGGGGCAACCCGGCCGUCUAGAUGACGGUCAUGCAUUAUCAUGCAGGCGAACGCGGGGAACUGAAACAUCUCAUUACCCGCAGGAGAAGAAAACAAAAUGUGAUUCCCCCAGUAGUGGCGAGCGAACGGGGAAGAGCCCAAACCGGUAGCGUUUCGGCGAUACCGGGGUCAUGGGACCACGCCAUUCGAAACAAGAUGAAGUGCAAUUACCUGGAAAGGUAAGCCGCGGAGGGUGAUAGCCCCGUGCACGUCAAUUCUUGUGGAGAUAGUGGAAUCCCGAGUAGGGCGGGACACGAGAAAUCCUGCCUGAAUUCGCCAGGACCCCCUGGCAAGGCUAAAUACUCCCGAGAGACCGAUAGUGAACCAGUACCGCGAGGGAAAGGUGAAAAGUACCCCGAGCAGGGGGGUGAAAUAGACCCUGAACCCGCGCGCCUACAAGCGGUCGGAGCUGCCUUGUGCAGUGACGGCGUGCCUUUUGCAUAAUGAGCCUACGAGUUAGUCGUCACCAGCGAGGUUAAGGGCUUCAGGCCCGUCAGCCGAAGUGAAAGCGAGCCUUAACAGGGCGUCAAGUUGGUGGCGCUAGACGCGAAACCUUGUGAUCUACCCACGAGCAGGUUGAAGUCGCGGUAACACGUGAUGGAGGACCGAACCGGUAAACGUUGAAAAGUUUUCGGAUGACUCGCGGGUAGGGGUGAAAGGCCAAUCAAACUGGGAAAUAGCUCGUACUCUCCGAAAUGCAUUUCGGUGCAGCCUGUGAUGUUCUGUUCCAGAGGUAGAGCUACUGGUUGGACGCGAGGGCUUCACCGCCUAUCAAAUCCGGAUAAACUCCGAAUGCUGGAACACGAAAUCAUGGAGUGAGCCCGCGGGUGCUAAGGUCCGCGGACGAGAGGGAAAGAACCCGGACCACCGGCUAAGGUCCCGGAUGGACAGUUAAGUUGAUCAAACGAGGUGGGAUCGCUGAGACAGCUAGGAUGUUGGCUUGGAAGCAGCCAUUCAUUUAAAGAGUGCGUAACAGCUCACUAGUCGAGCGAUCCCGCGUGGAUAAUACACGGGCAUUAAACUGUCAACCGAAGCCGUGGGGUCAGCGAAAAGCUGACCGGUAGGAGAGCAUUCCUGCCAGCGUUGAAGGUCACCCGCGAGAGUGACUGGAGCGGCAUGAAAAGCAAAUGUAGGCAUAAGUAACGAUAAUGGGGGCGAGAACCCCCCACGCCGCAAGACCAAGGCUUCCCCGGCAAUGUCAAUCAGCCGGGGGUCAGCCGGCCUCUAAGGCUAACCCGAAGGGGGAUGCCGACGAGAAACGGGUUAACAUUCCCGUGCUUCUCGUCACCGUGACGCGGUGACGGGGUGAUGAAUGGACCGCGCGCUGACGGAAUAGCGCGUUGAAGGCCGUACCCUUCGAGGGUGGUAGUCAAGCACGCCACCCGAGGCGACAGCCGAUAGUACCACGAGACUCCGGUCGAGUGGAUAGCGUCCAGGCAAUUUACCCCCGAGAAAACCCGCUAAACUUCAAGUGACGAGGAACCGUACUGUAAACGGACACACGUGGUCGGGUAGAACAUACCAAGGCGCUCGAGUGAUUCAUGGUCAAGGAACUAGGCAAAAUAGUCCUGUAACUUCGGGAAAAAGGACGCUCUAGUGAUAGAGCCGCAGAGUAAUGGCCCAGGCGACUGUUUACCAAAAACACAUGGCUAUGCCAAAUCGAAAGAUGACGUAUAUGGCCUGACACCUGCCCGGUGCCGGAAGGUUAAGAGGAGAGCUCAUCGGAAACGAGAAGGUUUGAAUUGAAGCCCCGGUAAACGGCGGCCGUAACUAUAACGGUCCUAAGGUAGCGAAAUUCCUUGUCGGGUAAGUUCCGACCUGCACGAAUGG
This 1979-nucleotide ribosomal RNA is filed under the name human gut metagenome. RNAcentral describes it as "bacterial LSU rRNA". It matches the Rfam family "Bacterial large subunit ribosomal RNA", at positions 1 to 1999 of the family's 2925-position model. The record is from RNAcentral.